RNAcentral lists this long non-coding RNA (626 nucleotides) under Oncorhynchus kisutch (coho salmon). Its description in RNAcentral is "lncRNA (ENSOKIG00005016926.1)". Lineage: Eukaryota; Metazoa; Chordata; Actinopteri; Salmoniformes; Salmonidae. The record is from RNAcentral.
ACUACUGACGGCCCAUUUCAGUAUUAGCGCGUUUCCGUAUUAGGUCUGCUGAUUCGGAGGAAUCACGCGGAAGUAGUAAAUUAGACGCAUCAAGUAGUGCAAAUCACCAACCAAAACAGUGACAUUUUGGAAAACUAAUGAAAGUAAAGUGUAUUUUAUUUUAAACAAGAGGACAUGUGCCAGUUCCAUUCCGAUUGUUAGGUUAUUCCGUAGAGGUAGCCUAUAGUCGCUGAAUUGUCAUCAUCAGAUAGAGUUAUGGCAUGCAGCGACUCAAUGGUGUCAAUGAAUGGAACUCAAGUUUCCUAUAUUGGACAUGACUGUGAGGACAUCCCAGAGUACCUUGGAGAAAGAUAUGGACUCUUGACAAGACGGCUAGAUCUCAGCUUCAAUCAGCUAAGAGCCAUGCAUAAUGUGCUGCUCUGCAAUCUGAUAAGUGAUCUCCUGCUCACUGGGCGACCCUCCCCUGUCCUAUACAUCACUACCCUAAUCUGAGACCUGUCCAGGUGUGUGUGUGUGUGUGUGUGUGUGUGUGUGUGUGUGUGUGUGUGUGUGAGAGAGAAGGAAGAGAACGCGAGAGGAGAGUAGAGAAGCAAAUAGCGAGUAAGUGUGUGGGAGAGAGAGGGAGA